CUCGUAGGAUGAAAGUUGCCGUCGCUGGCAGUAGGCUACUCUGGAGGAGCGUUUUCUUGUGCUUAUUUCACGCUGGGCAUCGUGUGACAAAAGCUCCCUGGAAUCCUGCCUUAUUUCACCCGACAUUUGACUAGUAGACUACCCAUGUUCAUCAAGCUGACGCGCCCUCCCUCCUCCACUCUGACCCCUCGGGCCUCUUGCCCAUAGCACAAACAAGGCA
Molecule: long non-coding RNA, 220 nt
Organism: Alosa sapidissima (American shad)
Lineage: Eukaryota; Metazoa; Chordata; Actinopteri; Clupeiformes; Clupeidae
Exons: 3
Source: RefSeq, a predicted model, not a curated record